AGAGUAUCAUAUUCAGAUAAGGAUGGUGUCUGCAAUGUCGCUCUGUAUGCUUUUACCUGCAUUCAAUUUUUCAUUUUUUAACCUCACACUACAUCUGAAAAUGAAAUGCAUCAUUUAGAACCUUUCUUUUAUUGGUAACUAUAUGUAGAUGCCUUGGGCAAUCAAGGACUAUAUGAACAAGCAUGAAGUUUCAAGUACAUUACAAGAAAAUAACUUCCACCUCUCCUCAACUAACUGUAAUCUUGAGAUGGGGCGCCAGACGUAGAUGAAACAUUCAUCGCAACAACAGACAACAUACCUAUUCCCGAAUUGUAACCUGCAACUUCCAUAGCCUGGAAUUGUGCAAGUUUCAGCUCGUUUCUAUGUGAGAAGCAAUGUGAAUGCAUGAAAGGAUAACUCAAAUUUAGCUUUUUUUCUGAUUUUGGUUUGAGUUGACAUAUCCUUCAAUGCCAUACUUCUGGUAUACUGUAACUUGAUUCUCCUCCCACCAUCGCUGUGCUUCUUUCUCAGCAAAUCGUUUCCGGCUAAAUCUGACUCGCUUUAGCCCCCUUUGCCCACCUGGCAAAGUUGUGAAUGUGAUAUAUACACCAGGUUCAUAUUGUUCUACCCAUUCAUGCCUUGAGCCUUUCAUUCCAUUUUGCCUAGAGUCUAUUCUUGGGACAUGGGAAUCAUCAUCUGAUUUGCCAUUUUCUUGGAACAACCCUCUGGCGUCCAGCGACUUUAAUGUAUUAGAGAACACAAUAGGAGAGCUUGAUAAACUAUCUAUUUGUCCAUCUUUAGGUAAUUUUACUUCAGAGGGCAAAUGAAACAAAGCCAGUGGAGGCCGUGGACUCACAGUAGGGCUAUUUGUAUAUGCCUGUGUGUUCUGAGAACUAGUGUUCAGAUCAACUCUACCUUUUGCUUCUUUUCCAGCAGAUAUUUUCUCUGACAUUGCAUGAAGCCUUAAUGCCAAAGCUUUUAUAAUCUCAUUUGCUGCUUUACGCUUAGCUACUUCCUCUCUGGCCAGAGACCAAGUUUUCUCUAUAUUUUCUUGACAUUCUCGAAUCUUCUGGGUUCCAAUUUCACAUUGCACUUCAAGACUCCUAGCCUCUGCUCUUAGCCUCUGAACUUCUUCAGCAAGCAUCUUGUUUGCCUCAAACAUGCCUUCAUCUAUAUUUAUGACACUGGAAACAGUUGAUCCUGAAUCCAACGUCGGAACUGAAUUCUCACUAUAGUAUGAUUCAAACACAGCAGGGCAUGAGACUUGCCCCCACUGUGGCAAUCCAGCUGAAAAUGAAGAGACAAAUAAAUGCUGCUCCUUUUCCCCUUGGUUUUUAAGAGUCUUCUUCUGAACAGCUUGGCCAUCGAGAUCAUAUAAUUGGCUCAUUGACGGUAUAUGACUUCCUGCUGGGGUUGCUUUCCCCCCGCCUUCUUUCUCAUCAGAUAACAUCUUAUUGGAGGAUAACUUCUGCUUUGCACAAUGAUUUUCCAGUUUCAAUAUUCUACCUGAAACCGUAGCUUUCUGUAGAUGAUUAAAACAUGAAUCACAGACACGAGAAGGCUUGUUUUUAUUAGGAGCCAAAGAUGCAUUUAUGAGCUUCCUGCUGCUACAUGUAUGGCAGAACAAAAGACCACAAUUAUAACAAUUAUGUUUUUUCCUUGUAAAUCCAAAGGGCAUCCUACAACCACUACAAGCGGAUUGAUCAGUAACAGAGAUAGAUUUGUGCAGACAGAUUACUGCAGUUAAAUUUGAUCCACAAGCUACACUUUCAACCUGCCUGUUUCUCAAAGCCUCGACAAAAGUUGGUGAGUUUCUAUCUUCUGUGUUUCCUAGUCCUAACUGCCCAUUUGUGCCUUUUCCCCAAGUAUAUACAUGUCCCCCUGAUGUCAAGGCAGCUACAUGAUAUGAUCCUGAUGAUAUCUCCUUAACAAACUCCUCUUUAAGCUUUCCUUCAACAAUUGUGAUCGAUUUAUCCUUAGCCUGAGAAUUCCCUAACAGACCAUACACUGAGCUUCCCAUUGUAUAGAUCUUACCUGUAUUGGUAAGUGAAACAGUAAGCACCCUUCCACAGGAAACUUGGACAAAAUCAUAUUCCACAAGUUGUGCAACACAUGUUGGUACAAGUUUUUUCCCCAGAUCAAUAUGCCCAAGUCUUCCUUUAUCACCAUCUCCCCAUGUAAAUAGUUUCCCACCAACAGCAUUAAACUUGAAGCGGUCAGCAACAAUGUCCACAAUUGCAGCAGUGUGCCAUGAUCCGCAAGCAACAGAUUUUACCCGUAAACCUCUUAGAGAUUCAACUUCCUUGGGAUAAUAUACACUUUGAAGAUUCCCAUGCCCAAGUACUCCAAAAGUUCCAUCUCCAUAUGUAAAUAAUUGUCCAGAUGAGGACACAAUUGCUGUAUGCCAUUCCCCACAAGCAACUUUUGAUACAGUUAUACCAUCAAAAGAGCCAGAAAGUUUAUAUGGUAACCACUGGCUUCUGGUUCUUGUCUCAUCAACCAAAUUAGCACCACUUUUGUCGUCACCCCACAUGUAUAGUUCACCAGAAUGUGUCAGAGCACAUGUUUGAUAUUCACCACAGACAACAGCUUUUAUAUGGACACCAUCCAGGGAUUCAACAACUUUUGGGUAGCUCAAAUCCAUGUUAACUUUAUGUCCAAGCUUUCCCCCACUUCCAUCACCCCAGCAGAAAACUUCACCUCUUUUGUUGACCAAGGCAGCAUGUUUUCCUCCUAAAGAUAUAUUUUGUACAUCUAGCAUUACUGUGGAUUCCAAUAAUUUUGGCAUUAAUGCAUCAACUUGCAUCCCAUUGUGGUUACCCCCUAUAUUUCCUCCUUCCACACCUUCCCCCCAUAUCAGAACAUCCUUCAGGAUGUCACUUUUCCCCAUCCGUGCAGAUCUGCAUGUUGGGGCAACAAACCUAUGGGACAUUUCUUUUUGAAGUUCAGAGCAAGCAUACUUGAGAUUUGGCUCGACAUAUGGUGAAUUUGGAACAAGGACAUCCACUGCAUUCUGCAUCUGUUGAAGACUUGAUUCCGAUAUAAAAAAGCUAUCAGAAGAAAGCGAUAAACCAUCAGAAAAACACCUCUCCGACAGUGACAGAGUAGGACUUCCACAUAAGCUGCGCACCUGCGAAAGUUCUGAUGCAUCCUGCAGAAUUCCCAGAUUAUGCUUUCUUCUAAUAUAACCAGCUGGACUAUUGACACAACUAAGUGCCCCUGUGUGGCUCUUGAGACCAGUAAAAGGCCUAUGACGUUGACACCUGGAUAUAACAGCUCUUAAGCCUAUAAACCAAGAAUCAGCCUGCUCUUUGUCCUUGCAUAUCAGAUCUAAUGAGCGUUCACCGUUAGCAUAGAUUAGUGAGAAUGACUGAUGCACCUUAUCUGGUUGAAGUUGCCUUUGAAAAUUGAAAGUCCUCUGACCAGAAAUAAUCUUCAUAAUUGAGCUCAAUCUCAAUUGCUUUUCCUCCUGUCCAGAAUACCAGAUCAAAUAUUUCUCAUCCGUAGAAAGCCUAAAAGGACAGAACUUGGGCUUCCCUCUUCUUCCACACUUCAAAAGAUGUGCACCCUUCUUCAAAGCUAAAAGUGCAAGAAUGUGAAAGAACAGGCAACUCUGUGAAAUCCAUGACAGAAAUCCCAAUUCAGUGAGUGUGAUUAUUAAAAGAGAAGGAUAAUAGAGCAUCAAAUGCAACAUUAUCUUGGAAAGGCUAAUCAUCAUCCCUCACUUUUAAACCUGUUCAACAGUUCUGUAGGAGGGCACUGCUUGUAAGGAUUCCUCAACCAUUUUUGGCAGACAAGUUCAAGAAAGAAACAUUGGAGAGCGGAGAUAUAGAGAGAGAAUUUCAGGGAAGGAACAAACGAAGCAGAAUGAGAAGAUAUACGUUGGUAUCUCCAGAAGGGAACCUUAAGUAACUGCACAGCAGAACGUGCGUGUCUGAGACAGUGAUGAGGAGGGAAGAGAAAAAUAAGAGAGAUAGUCUGAUAGAGAGAGAAAGAGCAUAAAAACUAUGAAUGGCCUGUCUGCUAAACAGAGUGCCUCUGCAACAACUACAACUGCUAUAUAUGUUUGCACUUAUAAAACAUAUAAAAAGGGUUAAUUUCCUUUUCCUUUUCUUUUCCUUUUUUCCCCGCCUCACUUAACAGGUUCCUCUGAAUUGGGUUCUCCUCUCUCUCCCUCUUUCUACUGAUUCUGCUUCUUCCAUUACCGUUUUUG
Molecule: unclassified non-coding RNA, 4192 nt
Filed under: Hevea brasiliensis (rubber tree)
Lineage: Eukaryota; Viridiplantae; Streptophyta; Magnoliopsida; Malpighiales; Euphorbiaceae
Source: RNAcentral